This 463-nucleotide ribosomal RNA is filed under the name uncultured bacterium. RNAcentral's name for it is "partial 16S ribosomal RNA". It matches the Rfam family "Bacterial small subunit ribosomal RNA", at positions 28 to 507 of the family's 1533-position model. The record is from RNAcentral.
GACGAACGCUGGCGGCGUGCUUAACACAUGCAAGUCGAACGGAAAGGCCUUUUCGGAGGUACUCGAGUGGCGAACGGGUGAGUAACACGUGGGUGAUCUGCCCUGCACUCUGGGAUAAGCCUGGGAAACUGGGUCUAAUACCGGAUAGGACCGCACUUUAGUGUGUGUGGUGGAAAGUUUUUUCGGUGUAGGAUGAGCCCGCGGCCUAUCAGCUUGUUGGUGGGGUAAUGGCCUACCAAGGCGGCGACGGGUAGCCGGGCUGAGAGGUUGGUCGGCCACAUUGGGACUGAGAUACGGCCCAGACUCCUACGGGAGGCAGCAGUGGGGAAUAUUGCACAAUGGGCGCAAGCCUGAUGCAGCGACGCCGCGUGGGGGAUGACGGCCUUCGGGUUGUAAACUCCUUUCGCCAGGGACGAAGCGUUUUGUGACGGUACCUGGAGAAGAAGCACCGGCUAACUACGUG